Non-coding RNA from Cinara cedri, 705 nucleotides. Lineage: Eukaryota; Metazoa; Arthropoda; Insecta; Hemiptera; Aphididae. The record is from the annotation of a GenBank genome assembly.
CUCUAUUCCGAAAUUGUAAGGAAAAGUAUAGUAUGGAUAUUUGUACACAAAUAUUACAUAUUUUAUUAUUGUACAAUCUAACGACAAUAGUCUUCAUUUCUUGAAUAGGUAUAGUAUAAGACCGUAAUUCAUACAUGUAGUAGUAUAGGUAAUAUAGAUAAUGUAGUUUGAUUUUCGAUUAAAAUUUGUGGAUAUUAUACCAAUUGGUGCAAAUAGGGAGGGAUUGUGGAUUUAACUCCCUCCAAAUGAAGUUUGUUUCAAGUAGAUAAUAAUUAGAUAUAUAUAUAUAUUUAUAUCAAUUUAAAUCAACCUACGCAUAUUACAGUGGUUUAUACUGCUUUUUUAGUAAAUUAUAGUUUAUGAGGAUAUUUCAAUGAAAUACAAAAGCAACCAAAAUAAAUAUUUGGCAAAUAUUUUGCCCAUUUCUUUUAAGUUAAUUACUGAUACAUUAUUUAUAUUGCCUACCAAAAUAUCUAUUGGUGAACACUGAACAGUUUUGUGUAUUAUAACGACGGUCGUGAUGACGUUUAAGAACUGCAAACGCGAAUCAUUGAUUUGUCCACAGUUACCCCUCUGGGAAAGAUAGCACCUGUUUACGAACACACAAAAUAUAUAGUAAAGCACUUUAUAGACGCGCAGCGUUCGAUGUUAAAGUAAAUAUACGUGCCAUUCUAUCAAACGUAAUAUUCUUCAAUUUAAAACCAU